AGAGUUUGAUCCUGGCUCAGAAUCAACGCUGGCGGCGUGCCUCAGACAUGCAAGUCGAACGAUUAAAGCUCUCUUCGGAGAGUGUAUAAAGUGGCGCACGGGUGAGUAACACGUAGGUAAUCUACCUUUGAGUGGGGAAUAACAGUCGGAAACGACUGCUAAUACCGCAUAAUGCAGCGGCAUCUAUGAUGACAGUUGUUAAAGGAGCAAUCCGCUUAAAGAGGAGCCUGCGGCAGAUUAGCUAGUUGGUAAGGUAAUGGCUUACCAAGGCUACGAUCUGUAACCGACCUGAGAGGGUGGUCGGUCACACUGACACUGAAUAACGGGUCAGACUCCUACGGGAGGCAGCAGUCGGGAAUUUUGGGCAAUGGGCGAAAGCCUGACCCAGCAACGCCGCGUGAAGGAUGAAGUUUUUCGGAAUGUAAACUUCGUAAAAAUAGGAAGAAUAAAUGACGGUACUAUUUGUAAGGUCCGGCUAACUACGUGCCAGCAGCCGCGGUAAUACGUAGGGACCAAGCGUUGUUCGGAUUUACUGGGCGUAAAGGGCGCGUAGGCGGCAAUUCAAGUCAUCUGUGAAAUCUCCGGGCUUAACUCGGAACGGUCAGAUGAUACUGCUUUGCUAGAGUACAGAAGGGGCAAUCGGAAUUCUUGGUUGUAGCGGUGAAAUGCGUAGAUUCAAGAGGAACACCUGAGGUGAAGACGGGUUGCUGGGCUGAUACUGA
This 722-nucleotide ribosomal RNA is filed under the name uncultured bacterium. RNAcentral describes it as "bacterial SSU rRNA". It matches the Rfam family "Bacterial small subunit ribosomal RNA", at positions 8 to 743 of the family's 1533-position model. The record is from RNAcentral.